Oryza nivara is the source of this 192-nucleotide non-coding RNA. Lineage: Eukaryota; Viridiplantae; Streptophyta; Magnoliopsida; Poales; Poaceae. The record is from Rfam.
UUUAAGUACAACUAUAAGUUUUUAUGUCCAAAUUUGAUUAUUUAUCUUAUUUAAAAAAAAUUUGUAAUUAGUAUUUUUGUUGUUAUGAGAUGAUAAAACAUGAAUAGUACUUUACUCGUGACUUAUGCUUUUAAAUUUUUUUAAAUAAGAUGGACUUAAAGUUGGGCGCAGAAAACCAUGGCUGCACUUAAA